Molecule: long non-coding RNA, 452 nt
Filed under: Setaria viridis
Lineage: Eukaryota; Viridiplantae; Streptophyta; Magnoliopsida; Poales; Poaceae
Description: long non-coding RNA (SVIR_LNC005445)
Source: RNAcentral
UGUCCUGUGCCGCUCUUACUCGUAGAAUUGGAGCUCCUCCUUGACGUCCGUUGCUGCUCGGCGGAGAACAUGCUUACUGAGAUGAACACGGUAUGUAGGUUCAACAAGUAUGGAUUUGAAAAACUAUAUUAAAUUUGACAAGAUAAACCGUCUAGAUAAGGUAGCAUCAUUCUUAAACCGCUGCAAGGAUACAUACUAUAUAUGACACAUGUGACAUACUAAUUUUGUCCUCAUAAUUAAUAUUGAUAUCCUCUCAAUUCUACCUCACAUUUACACUCCAAUCUCCCUCACAUUCUAGCAAAUAAACUAUCCAUCUCCAUUCUACACAUCAAGUUGUUUUAACUAAUAUGAAUCGUAUAUAACAAGCAAACUAUCCAUCACAUUCUAGCUCAAAAACAUGUAUAAAUACAAAUCCUCUUCAUUGUCUCUCUUUCUAACAAACAAACUUAUUU